GAUGAACGCUGGCGGCGUGCCUAAUACAUGCAAGUCGAGCGAACAGACGAGGAGCUUGCUCCUCUGACGUUAGCGGCGGACGGGUGAGUAACACGUGGAUAACCUACCUAUAAGACUGGGAUAACUUCGGGAAACCGGAGCUAAUACCGGAUAAUAUAUUGAACCGCAUGGUUCAAUAGUGAAGGACGGUUUUGCUGUCACUUAUAGAUGGAUCCGCGCCGCAUUAGCUAGUUGGUAAGGUAACGGCUUACCAAGGCAACGAUGCGUAGCCGACCUGAGAGGGUGAUCGGCCACACUGGAACUGAGACACGGUCCAGACUCCUACGGGAGGCAGCAGUAGGGAAUCUUCCGCAAUGGGCGAAAGCCUGACGGAGCAACGCCGCGUGAGUGAUGAAGGUCUUCGGAUCGUAAAACUCUGUUAUUAGGGAAGAGCAAAUGUGUAAGUAACUAUGCACGUCUUGACGGUACCUAAUCAGAAAGCCACGGCUAACUACGUG
This 497-nucleotide ribosomal RNA is filed under the name uncultured bacterium. Its description in RNAcentral is "partial 16S ribosomal RNA". It matches the Rfam family "Bacterial small subunit ribosomal RNA", at positions 28 to 507 of the family's 1533-position model. The record is from RNAcentral.